GGUAAGACGGAGGAUGCAAGCGUUAUCCGGAAUUAUUGGGCGUAAAGCGUCCGCAGGUGGCUAUACAAGUCUGUUGUUAAAGCCCAUAGCUCAACUGUGGAUCGGCAAUGGAAACUGUAUAGCUUGAGUGCGACAGGGGUAGAGGGAAUUCCCAGUGUAGCGGUGAAAUGCGUAGAUAUUGGGAAGAACACCAGUGGCGAAGGCGCUCUACUGGGCCAUUACUGACGCUGAUGGACGAAAGCUAGGGGAGCGAAAGGGAUUAGAUACCCCUGUAGUCCUAGCUGUAAACGAUGGACACUAGGUGUUGCGCGUAUCGACCCGUGCAGUAUCGAAGCAAACGCGUUAAGUGUCCCGCCUGGGGAGUACGCACGCAAGUGUGAAACUCAAAGGAAUUGACGGGGGCCCGCACAAGCGGUGGAGUAUGUGGUUUAAUUCGAAGCGACGCGAAGAACCUUAGCAGGGAUUCACAUCCUCGGAACCCGUCUGAAAGGACGGGGUGCCUUCGGGAGCGUAGAGACAGGUGGUGCAUGGCUGUCGUCAGCUCGUGUUGUGAGAUGUUGGGUUAAGUCCUGCAACGAGCGCAAACCUCGUCCUUAGUUGCCAUCAUUUAGUGGGGCACUUUAAGGAAACUGCCGGUGACAAACCGGAGGAAGGUGGGGAUGACGACAAGACAUCAUGCCCCUUACAUCCUGGGCUACACACGUACUACAAUGCGACGGACAAAGGGCAGCCAGCUCGCGAGAGUCCGCUAAUCCCAUAAACCAUGGCUCAGUUCAGAUUGCAGGCUGCAACUCGCCUG
Molecule: ribosomal RNA, 799 nt
Filed under: Oscillatoria sp. EGY2
Lineage: Bacteria; Bacillati; Cyanobacteriota; Cyanophyceae; Oscillatoriales; Oscillatoriaceae
Description: bacterial SSU rRNA
Rfam family: Bacterial small subunit ribosomal RNA
Source: RNAcentral